GGUUCCUAGUCGGAUUCGUUAACCACUGCGCCACGAUGGGAACUCCUUUUUUUUUUUUUUGGUCAUGCCCAUGGCAUGUGGAAGCUCCCAGGUCUAACCUGUGCCACAACAGUGACCCAAGCCACAGUGGUGAGAAUGAUGCAUCCUUAACAACUAAGUCGCCAGGAAACUCCCUAGCUCCAUUUCUUAAGGUCACAUUGAAGGCCAGUGAAAUGAUCUGGCCCUAUAGCAGUGUCUACAUAAUUUUCCUCAAACCUUUAAAGUUUUCUUUAGAGUGUAUCUGAGUAUUUAGAGAACAUCAAGCUUUCUAGGGAAAAAAAAAAUAUCUGAUUGCUGUUGUACAGUCCUACAUGCUUGAAAGUAUGAUUUGGUCUUUCAUUCAUGCGCAAUGGAUCUUGGGCUGUAGGCACCUUGGAGAUUCAACCUCAGCCUGGUUAUUACUCUAGAUGUCCAGGCUUUAGCAUCAGCCUGGCCAUGUUCUGGCUGGUUUGGCACAGUCUUAACAAUGAUCAAAAAUAACACAUAAUCAUAGACUGCCUCCUGGAAUAUCUUGAUUUUAUGCAUCAUAAUGCAAUGAGUUCUAUAUACUUAAGCAAAAGAUUUUAAAAAUUUAAAGCAUGCAGUACAAGUCCACAUAGUCUCGCUUCCACUGAGCAGUGCUGAACAUGCAAUUACAUUUUGAACAAUAGGCAUUCAUAAAUCAGGCAGCAUGCUCAUGAGACGAAUAUCCUCUAAUUAAAUAAAAGGCGAAUCAGUGUUUCUCAGUGCAGGGAUUGUUGGUGGGAUUAAAGGAUUGUUCUCAAGCCCAGCACACAUUGUGAGGGCCCUGGCUGACUGCCUGAGGGCUCUGCAGACCCCACCUGCUGAGAUGUCCUGAGGCCAAAUCAGUGAGGAUUAAGGUAGACCUUGACCAUGGCUCCUACUUGGGUUCAACUCUCAUCUUCUCAUCUUCUCAUCCUCAGGGUCACUGUGUAGGCUGUACAGCUUGGGUGCUCUGCAGAGGUCCUGGCUGAGAAAGAGCCAGGGCAGAAAUUCAGUCCAUAGGCUGGUGCCAAAGCCAUACCCCUUGGUUCUGGGCUCUAUGGCAAAGGAGUGCCUUCUUCUAAUUCACUUAAAGAUGUUCUCUGGGAGUUCUCUGGUGGCACAGUGGGUUAAGGAUCUGGCAUUGUCACUGCAGCAGCUUGGGUUCCAUCUCUGGCCUAGGAACUUCCACAUGUAGCAAGGGAGGCAAAACCAAAAACCAAACCAAACAAAACAGGAGUUCCCAUCGUGGCUCAGCAGAAACAAAUCUGACUAGCAUCCAUGAGGAUGCAGGUUUGAUCCGUGGCCUCUUUCAGUGGGUUAAAGAUCCAGCAUUGCUGUGAGCUGCGGUGUAUGUAGGCCACAGACAAGGCUCAGAUACUGCUUUGCUGUGACUGUGGUGUAUACUGCAGCUGCAGCUCUGA
RNAcentral lists this long non-coding RNA (1445 nucleotides) under Sus scrofa (pig). RNAcentral describes it as "lncRNA (ENSSSCG00005035019.1)". Lineage: Eukaryota; Metazoa; Chordata; Mammalia; Artiodactyla; Suidae. The record is from RNAcentral.